Long non-coding RNA from Dipodomys ordii (Ord's kangaroo rat), 459 nucleotides. RefSeq lists it as uncharacterized. The record is from RefSeq and is a predicted model, not a curated record. NCBI's taxonomy places the organism in Eukaryota, Metazoa, Chordata, Mammalia, Rodentia, Heteromyidae. The transcript is spliced from 2 exons.
CCCUCGGCGCGCCCCGCAGUGUGUGCUGCUGCCUGAGCGGGCUGGUGGAGCUGGCUGUAGAGAAUGUUCCAGAACAGGACCGGGAGAAGUCGAUAGUGGGGAGCCCGUGUUCCCAAGCCGCUGCGUUGCUCUUGACCCCGUGGACUCCCGGGGAAUUGGAACUCGGGGUGGGAAGCGGUUCUGGGUCGGCCCCACAGUGUCCGUUCUGCACACACGCACGCGUUUCCCAGAAUCCUAACUUCAAGCUGAGAAGGCCCUGAUGGGAGGCUCCUAGGAAGCAGCUUAGCUCCGGUCCUCACAUCCCCCACUGCCCAUGGGCUGGGCACAAAUGCCUCAUAUUGAUGGCGCACACGGAUGCUCUUGGGGCUGAAAGGAGGUGUGAGCAGUGGCGUGCUUGGGUGUUUUCCAGUGUUGUAUAUGUAAGCAUCUAAGUCAGAUUAAAAUGUGAGUGAACCAGCA